RNAcentral lists this unclassified non-coding RNA (347 nucleotides) under soil metagenome. RNAcentral describes it as "partial contains 5.8S ribosomal RNA, internal transcribed spacer 2, and large subunit ribosomal RNA". The stretch from base 1 to 120 matches the Rfam family "5.8S ribosomal RNA", at positions 35 to 154 of the family's 154-position model. The record is from RNAcentral.
GAUGAAGAACGCAGCGAAAUGCGAUAAGUAAUGUGAAUUGCAGAAUUCAGUGAAUCAUCGAAUCUUUGAACGCACAUUGCGCCCAUUAGUAUUCUAGUGGGCAUGCCUGUUCGAGCGUCAUUUCAACCCUCAAGCACUGCUUGUGUGUUGGGCUUCCGUCCCUGGCAACGGGGACGGGCCCAAAAGGCAGUGGCGGCACCAUGUCUGGUCCUCGAGCGUAUGGGGCUUUGUCACCCGCUCCCGUAGGUCCAGCUGGCAGCUAGCCUCGCAACCAAUCUUUUUAACCAGGUUGACCUCGGAUCAGGUAGGGAUACCCGCUGAACUUAAGCAUAUCAAUAAGCGGAGGA